Daphnia pulex (common water flea) is the source of this 675-nucleotide long non-coding RNA. RefSeq lists it as uncharacterized. NCBI's taxonomy places the organism in Eukaryota, Metazoa, Arthropoda, Branchiopoda, Diplostraca, Daphniidae. The record is from RefSeq and is a predicted model, not a curated record. The transcript has 2 exons.
CCUUAAGUAAAGCUCGAGCAAUUUUCUUGUGCGCGCGCAAAUUUGUGUUUAUUGGUUGGGUCGGAAUUUGUUACAUGAAUUACAGUGAAAUCAGGUAUUUACAUUUUUUCAAACUUCAAAGUCAAUCGUCCCUUUGUUUUCUACAAUUUCUUGUUAACAGGGUCGGAAAUUGUUUACAUGGAAUUAUUGUAAAAUCAAAUAUUUACAUUUUGUUUAUUAAGAGUAUUGGUUGCCCGUGGAUCUUGUCUACCAUGUCUUGUUAAUUGGGUAGAGGGCAUACAUGGAGGAAGUCAGUUUUUGUGUGUGUUUCGUACUGCCUUCCCCUCUCUAAAUUUCUCCGUCGAUUGUUAUGCUGCACAUAAAACACCCACUUGGCGAUUUCGUCUCCCUCCCUAGUGGCACAUUUCCUCCCUUGGACGUCCAUGGCACGUCUGUACAUCCCAGCCAUAUCUACAUCCAAAUUGAAAAUUUCCGAUAAAGACAAGACAGCCAUAGGAUGUCUAGCAAUGAUAGCCUAAAGAUGUCCUUUUUUUUGUCCUUGUUACCUCCAGGAGACAUCCGUUAGUAUAGGGUCUAUGGCUAGAGUACUCGACUGACAAUUACUGGGACGAUGGUUCAAACUCACAGUCAGGCAAAAGUAUUUCUUCAAAAAUAAAACACACACUUACGAACACA